RNAcentral lists this ribosomal RNA (468 nucleotides) under uncultured bacterium. RNAcentral's name for it is "partial 16S ribosomal RNA". It matches the Rfam family "Bacterial small subunit ribosomal RNA", at positions 28 to 507 of the family's 1533-position model. The record is from RNAcentral.
GACGAACGCUGGCGGCGUGCUUAACACAUGCAAGUCGAACGGAAAGGCCCUGCUUUUGUGGGGUGCUCGAGUGGCGAACGGGUGAGUAACACGUGAGUAACCUGCCCUUGACUUUGGGAUAACUUCAGGAAACUGGGGCUAAUACCGGAUAGGAGCUCCUGCUGCAGGGUGGGGGUUGGAAAGUUUCGGCGGUUGGGGAUGGACUAGCGGCUUAUCAGCUUGUUGGUGGGGUAGGGGCUUACCAAGGCUUGGGCGGGUAGCCGGCCUGAGAGGGUGACCGGCCUCAUUGGGACUGCGAUACGGCCCAGACUCCUACGGGAGGCAGCAGUGGGGAAUAUUGCACAAUGGGCGGAAGCCUGAUGCAGCAACGCCGCGUGCGGGAUGACGGCCUUCGGGUUGUAAACCGCUUUCGCCUGUGACGAAGCGUGAGUGACGGUAAUGGGUAAAGAAGCACCGGCUAACUACGUG